GCAGCAUGAUGUUUUACAAAGCAGAGUGAAACGUGAAAUACUUGUAAAGCAUACAGGAAAUGCGAUUUUGAAUUAGAACAAUGCCAUAUAUAUAGUUGUUUAUCCUUUUACGUCCAUUUGAGAUCAUUUUUUACUUGAAUUUAAACUGGAAAAUUGUAUCCAUGGCUCCAGUUAAUCUGAUUUUUUUUUAUUAACAUAAGGAGUUUCAUAUACAUGUAUGCAAGAUUUGAAUCCAAUGCUCAAUGGCCAAGCUGGUAUGGAGGACCCCCCCCCCCACGAACUUCUCUUCACAAAAUUUGUAGGCAUUUAAAUUAAUCUGGCAUAUGUCCACAAUGGAAAUAGCUCUAGCCCCGAUAGUCGAUUUAAAGACAAACGUACGAAUUCAUUCAGCCGAGUACUUUUAUUUGUUUACGGUUGAUUAAAGAUGGGUACAGGCCGUCGUAGAUAAAAUGUUUACAUCGCAUUUUAAAUAGUUACCGUUUACGUGUAUAGAAUUGGAAAUGCUAUUUGAUCUGCACACGAAUGAACACUUCUUGUCGUAAUUUCCCGGUUCUAAGAAAACCGACCAAGUCUCAUGAUAAAUACUUACAUGAAACAAUUUUCUCCAAGACUGCAAAAUGACAUGACAACGAACUAGGACAACUCCAGAUUAACUUCCAGGUCACGUGGGAAAAGAAAACAAAGCAGAGAAAACCAGCUGUAACAAAGCCAAAUUGAAAACACACACAACCAACAGAGAAGACGUUUGUGAUGGACAGGAACAAAAGCAAACUUCUCAGAAUUAAAUGAUAAAAUAUCGGAUGAAAUGAUGAUCAACAGAAAUCAGAUAUUAUUGUUUAGUCAGGUAUAUAUUCUGCUACGCAAUUAUAAAAUGUAUUGCGAAGAAAUUUCUUGAUUCAUAUUUUUUUAUGAGUAUAUAUGUCACGAUGUGAAAUUUAAUUUUUCGGACUUGUUUAAUUAUUGUACAUGUGUAAAUUAACUUUUUCGGACUUUGCAUUAAUUGCUACAAAAACUGUUCUUCUAUUUUGACAACUGUUUUGAAACCGUUUUAAAAUCCGCGCAGCCUUGAUCCCACCUGAGACACAGUCAGAGAUGGACACAUCAUCCUUCAUCUUAUUAAUCCUUUUAUGUACAUGUUGCUUAAAUGUCAUGAUUGUACAACUGUUCAUGUGUAUUAUUUACCAUUAGAGAACUAUCUGUUGAAUGGAAUUUUGUCAUCUUCACCCCUAUUUCAAUUUUGUAUAGGCAACAAAUAAUUUAUAAGUAACACACCGGUACAUUUCAAAUUCUUAUAUCUUUUGCCUUCAUAUAAAACAAAUUUACCAAUUAGAUCAAACAAUAUUAUAGAGACUUGUUUUCACCAGUCUAAAAAACGGCCUUGGGACCCUUCACGUACUGCAGACAAUAGCUUUUGAAUUGAAUUUUCUCAUCUUCUUUCCUAUUUCAAUUCUGUAUAAUAGGCAUGUAAUGAUUUAUAAGUUACAUACAUUAAGUUUUCAUAUUCUUAUAUCUUUUUGGUUCAUGUUAAUAAAUUUUAAAACAAUAAA
This is a long non-coding RNA of Magallana angulata, 1547 nucleotides long. RefSeq lists it as uncharacterized. The transcript has 2 exons. The record is from RefSeq and is a predicted model, not a curated record. Lineage: Eukaryota; Metazoa; Mollusca; Bivalvia; Ostreida; Ostreidae.